AGAUUAAGUUAUUAAGGGCGCACGGUGGAUGCCUUGGCACUAGAAGCCGAUGAAGGACGUUACUAACGACGAUAUGCUUUGGGGAGCUGUAAGUAAGCUUUGAUCCAGAGAUUUCCGAAUGGGGAAACCCAGCAUGAGUUAUGUCAUGUUAUCGAUAUGUGAAUACAUAGCAUAUCAGAAGGCACACCCGGAGAACUGAAACAUCUUAGUACCCGGAGGAAGAGAAAGAAAAUUCGAUUCCCUUAGUAGCGGCGAGCGAAACGGGAAGAGCCCAAACCAACAAGCUUGCUUGUUGGGGUUGUAGGACACUCUAUACGGAGUUACAAAGGACGACAUUAGACGAAUCAUCUGGAAAGAUGAAUCAAAGAAGGUAAUAAUCCUGUAGUCGAAAAUGUUGUCUCUCUUGAGUGGAUCCUGAGUACGACGGAGCACGUGAAAUUCCGUCGGAAUCUGGGAGGACCAUCUCCUAAGGCUAAAUACUCUCUAGUGACCGAUAGUGAACCAGUACCGUGAGGGAAAGGUGAAAAGCACCCCGGAAGGGGAGUGAAAUAGAACCUGAAACCGUGUGCUUACAAGUAGUCAGAGCCCGUUAAUGGGUGAUGGCGUGCCUUUUGUAGAAUGAACCGGCGAGUUACGAUUUGAUGCAAGGUUAAGCAGUAAAUGUGGAGCCGUAGCGAAAGCGAGUCUGAAUAGGGCGUUUAGUAUUUGGUCGUAGACCCGAAACCAGGUGAUCUACCCUUGGUCAGGUUGAAGUUCAGGUAACACUGAAUGGAGGACCGAACCGACUUACGUUGAAAAGUGAGCGGAUGAACUGAGGGUAGCGGAGAAAUUCCAAUCGAACCUGGAGAUAGCUGGUUCUCUCCGAAAUAGCUUUAGGGCUAGCCUCAAGUGAUGAUUAUUGGAGGUAGAGCACUGUUUGGACGAGGGGCCCCUCUCGGGUUACCGAAUUCAGACAAACUCCGAAUGCCAAUUAAUU
RNAcentral lists this ribosomal RNA (976 nucleotides) under Staphylococcus aureus. RNAcentral describes it as "partial 23S ribosomal RNA". It matches the Rfam family "Bacterial large subunit ribosomal RNA", at positions 1 to 972 of the family's 2925-position model. The record is from RNAcentral. Lineage: Bacteria; Bacillati; Bacillota; Bacilli; Caryophanales; Staphylococcaceae.